RNAcentral lists this unclassified non-coding RNA (214 nucleotides) under Nilaparvata lugens (brown planthopper). Its description in RNAcentral is "uncharacterized LOC120352627, transcript variant X2". Lineage: Eukaryota; Metazoa; Arthropoda; Insecta; Hemiptera; Delphacidae. The record is from RNAcentral.
UUUUGACGGUCACCUCUGCCUUUGUUUUGAACAGUCGCGUCGCGAAUUUCAAGUGGAACUGACCUCUAUGUCGUCGCGCUCGUCAAUUUUGUAGUUCUAACGAAUAUUUCCGGUAUCUAGUGGCUCGUUAAUGGAUCAGGAAGUUAAUGUUGGCUCAGUUAGUUGUGGAGACACGUGGAGUGGAGGUCGGUGCCGGCUGGAUUUUGGGUGAAAC